ACUAAGCAUAUCAAUAAGCGGAGGAAAAGAAACCAACAGGGAUUGCCUCAGUAACGGCGAGUGAAGCGGCAACAGCUCAAAUUUGAAAUCUGACCCCUUCGGGGCCCGAGUUGUAAUUUGUAGAGGAUGCUUCGGGUGCGGUGCCGGUCUAAGUUCCUUGGAACAGGACGUCAUAGAGGGUGAGAAUCCCGUAUGCGACCGGCGGCCAACCCCGUGUGAAGCCCCUUCGACGAGUCGAGUUGUUUGGGAAUGCAGCUCAAAAUGGGUGGUAAAUUUCAUCUAAAGCUAAAUAUCGGCCAGAGACCGAUAGCGCACAAGUAGAGUGAUCGAAAGAUGAAAAGCACUUUGGAAAGAGAGUCAAACAGUACGUGAAAUUGUUGAAAGGGAAGCGCUUGCAACCAGACCUGCCCGCGGGCGAUCAGCCGUUAUUCUUAGCGGUGCACUCGUCCGCGAUCAGGCCAGCAUCGGUUCGGGCGGCCGGAUAAAGGCCUCGGGAAUGUAGCUCCCCCCGGGGAGUCUUAUAGCCCGGGGUGCAAUGCGGCCAGCCCGGACCGAGGACCGCGCUUCGGCUAGGAUGCUGGCGUAAUGGUUGUAAGCGACCCGUCUUGAAACACGGACC
RNAcentral lists this ribosomal RNA (619 nucleotides) under Porpidia flavocaerulescens. Its description in RNAcentral is "LSU rRNA". It matches the Rfam family "Eukaryotic large subunit ribosomal RNA", at positions 33 to 667 of the family's 3401-position model. The record is from RNAcentral. Lineage: Eukaryota; Fungi; Ascomycota; Lecanoromycetes; Lecideales; Lecideaceae.